Non-coding RNA from Vicia faba (fava bean), 195 nucleotides. The record is from the annotation of a GenBank genome assembly. NCBI's taxonomy places the organism in Eukaryota, Viridiplantae, Streptophyta, Magnoliopsida, Fabales, Fabaceae.
AUGAAGGCAUCCCAUUCCCAUUCCCUAUUGAUAAGUCCUCAAAAGGAGGCAAGGCGAGCAGAGGGUCCACAAUCGACCUUGCCAUUUCUAGUCUGUGUCAUUUGUAGCUCGCGUCGUAUGUUGAUGCUUCGAAUCGUGCUACUCCUGUUAUCGAGUCGGUCAAGUGGAAUACAAGAAUCUCUAACCAAUCCCCCA